This 354-nucleotide unclassified non-coding RNA is filed under the name soil metagenome. Its description in RNAcentral is "partial contains 5.8S ribosomal RNA, internal transcribed spacer 2, and large subunit ribosomal RNA". The stretch from base 1 to 121 matches the Rfam family "5.8S ribosomal RNA", at positions 35 to 154 of the family's 154-position model. The record is from RNAcentral.
GAUGAAGGAACGUAGUGAAAUGCGAUAAGUAAUGUGAAUUGCAGAAUUCCGUGAAUCAUCGAAUCUUUGAACGCACAUUGCGCCCUCCGGUAUUCCGGAGGGCACGCCUGUCCGAGCGUCAUUACAACCCUCAAGCUCUGCUUGGUAUUGGGCGACCGCCCGCCUGCCCUCGGGCGGCGGACGCGCCUCGAAGAACUCGGCGGUCCCAGGACGGCUCCGGGCGUAGCAAAAGCGAAUCGCCUUGGAGUCCGCCCCGGCGGCCUGCCGCACAAAUGACACGCAACUUUUUUGCAAGGUUGACCUCGGAUCAGGCGGGGAUACCCGCUGAACUUAAGCAUAUCAAUAAGCGGAGGA